This is a non-coding RNA of Pimephales promelas (fathead minnow), 795 nucleotides long. Lineage: Eukaryota; Metazoa; Chordata; Actinopteri; Cypriniformes; Leuciscidae. The record is from RefSeq and is a predicted model, not a curated record.
UUUUCCGUUUCCGUGGUUUGGGAGCAGUUGACCUGCCCGGCUGACCUCUCGUCUGUCCACUCACCGCUCUGUUUUCUGUUCUUCCAGAGGAAUUAUCUCUCGCGGAGCAGGUGAGGAGGAUAAAGGACAUCGAGGCCAUUGAGAGUGACUCCUUUGUUCCUCAGGCUUUCAAAUCAUCUCGGGACUCCACCAAGGCGACUGAAGCUUCAGAGAUCAAGACAGAGGCCGAGACUAUGAAAGAGGAAGUCCCCGUUCUGCCCAUCUCCAUCACGUACAACGACAGCAACAGCCUGGCUCACCCCAACUUGUUCGUGGAUAAAGAGGAGGCCGAGAGGUUGUGGUUGAACAGACUGGUUUCUCUGCGUCAGGAGAGGCUCAUGGGAAGUCCGGUGUCCUGAUGACAAUGCGGAUGUGAAGACCGUUUUAGCCUCUGGAGCUCCUACAUCUCUCAGAAAGGAGCAAGUGCACCUCCUGCUGGUUUCCUCGGGACAUAUCUUCCAAAAGUGAAUUUCAGCAUGUGCUUCUCCUGAAUCUGUGCUGGUUUGUUAGUUUAACCUUAUAAUAACUGAUAAUGAUAGUAGAUUUAGGGAUUAUUUACACAUGCUCUUUUUUCAGUUUUAAGCAGCCAUCCUUCUCAUCAACAUGAAUGUAUGACAAUUGUGUGUAGCGUUUGCUAGGUUUUUGUUUUAGCCUUGUUCUUUUUUUCAAUAAAUGAUCGUGUUGUAAUUCUUGGACAGAACUUGUAUUGUGGACGUUAAACAGAUUAGCAUUUACUAAUGAAACGAAUGAAUCUUU